UACGGAGGGUGCGAGCGUUGUUCGGAAUUACUGGGCGUAAAGCGCACGUAGGCGGCUUUUCAAGUCAGGUGUGAAAGCCCCGAGCUUAACUCGGGAACUGCACUUGUUACUGUUGGGCCAGAGACCGGGAGAGGAUAGCGGAAUUCCCAGUGUAGAGGUGAAAUUCGUAGAUAUUGGGAAGAACACCAGUGGCGAAGGCGGCUAUCUGGACCGGUACUGACGCUGAGGUGCGAAAGCGUGGGGAGCAAACAGG
Molecule: ribosomal RNA, 253 nt
Filed under: uncultured bacterium
Lineage: Bacteria
Description: partial 16S ribosomal RNA
Rfam family: Bacterial small subunit ribosomal RNA
Source: RNAcentral